This 65-nucleotide transfer RNA is filed under the name Cucujus kempi. RNAcentral's name for it is "tRNA-Phe". Lineage: Eukaryota; Metazoa; Arthropoda; Insecta; Coleoptera; Cucujidae. The record is from RNAcentral.
AUUUAAAUAGCUUAAAAUAGAGCGUAAUAUUGAAGAUAUUAAAGUAAUAGGAUUAUUUUUAAAUA